AGAGGGGUGCCCGCCGUUUUCGCCGGGCUGAGAUCAUACCCUGUGAACCUGACGCAGGUCAUGCUGCCGUAGGGAUUGUUUU
This 82-nucleotide non-coding RNA is filed under the name uncultured Alloprevotella sp. The record is from RNAcentral. Lineage: Bacteria; Pseudomonadati; Bacteroidota; Bacteroidia; Bacteroidales; Prevotellaceae.